GUGUUCAUCAGGAGAAACAUAAAAUGGCGUUUUGUGUUGUUCGGUUAUUCUUUGCUCAGUUAUUUAUAAUAAACCCUUUAUAUAAACUAUAAUAGUGCUUUGAAUGCAUUGUCGCAAGAAACCAAGAAGCUUCUUCACUAAAUUGUAAGUUUCUUAGAAUAAAUAAAAAAUUAAACCAAGGAAGGAAAUGAAACGAAUCAGAAAUGUAACUAAUAAAGCAUUUAAUGAAGAAACUAAAAUCCUUUCCACCUCAGUUAUAAGUUCCUUAGCCCAAUGAGAUUAAACUGGCAUGAAAUUUUAUGAAGAAAGAAAAUGAAGUGAAUUAUAAACGUAAAUAUAAAAGGUAUCAGGAUCACUUAUCCGGAAACCACUCGUCGAGUCUUAUUUUCUUCAGUCAGUAGAACCAAUUGAUUGAAUCAAUCAACUAGCACACCACAAUAAUUGAAAACUUCCGAGUUAGAACUCUCAGAACAUUAUUAAAGUCUAUACUCAUUUGGAGAUUGACAUAAGCACGAAUUGCUUAGAAUCGUUUUGUCCGAGUUGUGGACUUUCAUAAGUAAUUUUAUGUUUUUAGUAUGCAAUUUGUCACAGUGUAAUUUAUUCCUUCAAUAGUAUAUACUCACUUGUGUACAUGUUUAAUUGUCCCAACUAAGGUUUAUAACCUACUGCUCCUUAAACAUUGGAGUUGAUGAAUUGACAAUUCAAACAUGUAUCUAAAGGCUUAAUUAUUAACCCAUUACAGUUUUUAUGUAGUUCAUGAGGCUUAAUUAUCUCUUAUGCGUCAAUUGGAAUAAAGACAUUUUCUUUUUACCUUAUCGAGGGGUCAGAAGGUCAUUUUAAUGUGUUUUUGAUUUAACAUAUGACACUGGACUGUCAUCUCAUUUAGUUGUGUUGAGUAAUUUUACCUAAUUUUUAUCCUCGAUGGAUUAUGAAUCCUAUUUACUAUCUGUCCAUGAGGAUUUUCCUUAAUUUUUCAUUCUUUCAUACUAAAGUUAUGAUUGUAAAAAAGUAACUGGUGUUUAUAAUAAUUUCAUUAUGUCUCCUUCAAAGAAUUUCUGAAAAUAUUUUUCACUAAUAACGAUAUCAUUUUUUUAUUUCCUUUCUAAUUAUUAAAUAAAUCAAAUUAUUUUGAAAGUAUUUUAUGGCUGCCAGGGAUUCUUUGUCAUUUGUAUUAUGAUAAUAUCACCCAAAUUUACUGUGAUUAAUCCUCUAAAUUUAUGUGAGUAAUAAAAAGAAUUAUUAUUCAUUAGCUGUUGAAAUUUUGGUGGUGUAGAUUUACCAUUUUACCAAGCAUAUGCCUAAGAUUGAUCCUUUUCGGAUUGUCAUAAAAAUAGUCAUAAAAAUAUCGCAUUCCCAAUUGUGGACAGUGAAUCAUUUUUUAUUUAAUAAUCGAAUUCAGUGUUGGUGGCAAUUUGUUAUUGGUAAAUUUCUCAUUUUAUAUCAAACAACUUUUAUCCUCCAAUUUCGGACAACCUGCUGUUUGACUUUAAGGACCUAAUAUUGACGUAUAUGAAUAUAUUCUUUACUUCAAUGAAGUCUUAUCACCCGAAUUGUAUGGGAAACCAUGAGGAGACCUUUCUAAAUAGGGAAAUAGGCCUGUGUAUUUUUUUGUCGCGUUCACUUAAUGAACAAUAUGACACUGGAGAUUUAAAAAGAAAACUAAAUUUUCAAUUACUACGUUCCCGAUAUUGAGUUUUUGAGAAUGUCCCUUUUCUCACAUCUUGAAGGAUGAUCUCAUGUACUUAAAGCAGGCGUUACACUCGAAUUUCUUGAUUAAUUAGUUAUUCAACUGGGUGGACAUUAUUCGGUAACAAUAGUGAAAGUGAACCUGAGUUAGUUGAAGAAGAUAGUGUGCCUUGUAAUUAUACUAAUCUGAUUCUGUGACAAAAACCAAUCAUAAUCUACGUUGUGGGAAAAACAAAAAAAGUCUUAUUUUCUUUAUUAAACAUAUCCUUCCACGCAGGGACCUUAUCAAUCUUAUUAAAUAAGUUCUAGUAACUGCGCUGCUACU
Aethina tumida (small hive beetle) is the source of this 2011-nucleotide long non-coding RNA. RefSeq lists it as uncharacterized. The record is from RefSeq and is a predicted model, not a curated record. The transcript has 4 exons. Lineage: Eukaryota; Metazoa; Arthropoda; Insecta; Coleoptera; Nitidulidae.